UAAUGUGCAUCCUCAUGGAAA
Molecule: non-coding RNA, 21 nt
Filed under: Caenorhabditis elegans
Lineage: Eukaryota; Metazoa; Nematoda; Chromadorea; Rhabditida; Rhabditidae
Source: RNAcentral